Long non-coding RNA from Pipistrellus kuhlii (Kuhl's pipistrelle), 1357 nucleotides. RefSeq lists it as uncharacterized. The record is from RefSeq and is a predicted model, not a curated record. NCBI's taxonomy places the organism in Eukaryota, Metazoa, Chordata, Mammalia, Chiroptera, Vespertilionidae. The transcript has 2 exons.
UCUGUCUGUUAAGCACAGAGGCGUCCCCUGGCACGCCGGGGAGAGCCAGCCAUUGCAAAGACAGCGCAUCCUCCUCGGCGUCCCCGCCCAGGGCUCCGGGCCCCGCCGACCCGACCCCGAGGGAGCAGCCCAGGCUUCGGCCCUGAAACUAGGUCUAGGCCAGCGCCAAGGCAGCCGCCAGAGAAGCAGCCCCACUUUCUCCGAGCAGGAGGGGGAGGCGGGAGCAUUUCCUGUUGUGCAGCUGAACCAGGCGGAGACGUCAUUGCAUUCAAACUCCCUAGGGUGUCAGCGGACAAGGGCCAAAGUUCAGGCCCUUCCAGGGCGGGCCCAGCGCAGAGGGGCGAGGGCAGGGCGGUCGGGGCUCCGGCUCCUGGCACCGGUCCCCGAGCCUGGUGCCCGCACAGCCCGGCCCGGCGCUGGGCGCAGCGGAGCCCCUGAGCAGCCGCUCUUUCUCCCAAUGAACCAGCCGGGCCACUGCUGUGGGCUGGCCUCUCCUUCUGUGUUUUUCCCAGGGUGAAGGCCAAGGCGUGUGUGUGUUUCAAGGUGUUUGAAGGCAGCACUUUCCUUGUGUAAGAUUCUUUGCUUCAUUUUUAACAAAACUGGCUCCCAAGAAAUGCAAUGACCAAACCAUCGGGAUGCUCUUCUUGCCUCGGUUCUAUUUCCAUUACACACUGCAGGACCACAGUGUUUCUGUGAAGCCAGUUCUCUCCGAAAGCAGAGCCCAGCUCGAAGUUAACUGUAGGCAGCAGAUGAAGAUUAUGGCUCACUGAGUGAACAGGAACAUGCAGGAACUAAGACAGAAGUGCAUUAUACAGACACACAAGCACACAGAUGAAUGAAGAAACCUUUUAUGAAAAACCCACCUACCUACAUGCUUCACAACCUCAGGAUUCAGUAAGACCCUUCAGCAUUUUCAAAUCCCAUGAUUUUUUUUUCUUACAAACUGCCCUCAAAAAAGACAGCCUUCUCUUUAUUAAAGGGCCCUUAGCACAAAUUACUACUGCCUUGAUCCCUUCAAAACUGGAUAACUAUACAAAGUACAGCACCUGUCCCUAAGACAGUCCUCAGACCUACAGGACAUUCAAACACUGUCCAUUCCCUCCUCUAGAUGAUAACAAGAAGAGGUAUCAUUACCUCAUACCUUUCAGGCUCUUGGUAAAAGCCAGUAUGUUCUUCAAAUGGAAAUAUAUAAAUAGUACUCAAGUGUUUCAGAACACACUCCCUCCAUCUAUAUUUAAUAUUUCAGAAUAGACCUUCAAUAAAGUCUAAAUAAUAGUAAAAUGCUCAGAUGGCCUAUAAUCAACUGUUAUUGAAACAUCAGUGUUCCCACAUGCAUUAAAUUAUAAUUAAAAAUUAA